Molecule: ribosomal RNA, 579 nt
Filed under: Triticum aestivum (bread wheat)
Lineage: Eukaryota; Viridiplantae; Streptophyta; Magnoliopsida; Poales; Poaceae
Description: partial small subunit ribosomal RNA
Source: RNAcentral
AUGACAUCACAAAACACACAGGAAGAGCCAAAAACUGUUUCGCCGAAGAUAAAAGGAGAGGCCAAACAUAAGAGAUGUAAACAGGAUUUGAAAAGAAAGGCUUUGCGAAAUAAAAAAAAGUUCUUACAGAGAGCAAUCUAUUCGAUAAUGAGGUUUCAAAUUACUUACGCUCAUCUAUAUAUACUAAAAAUAAUAAUCCAUGACAGUGUAUCGGUCAUUUCCCACUGUGGUCUAAUUUUGUAUGCAUUUGAUCUUAUAUAUGUACUCCAUAAUACAUUGUUAAAUAUGGCGAUGAUAUACAAGCUUAAUAUCUACCAUGCAUUUAUGGAAAUUUAUGAAUGUUUCAAUAAUAACAUUGUUCUUGCAUUUAUGCAGCGAGACAACAAUAGUCACGCCGACAACAACUGUACCAGCACAGAUGACCGUAAUGAAGAAUGGAACGCCAAAACUAGAAGCAGAACAAAGAAGGAAAGGACCGAUUGCAUAAAGAGGAGGAAAAUAUCAUCUGAAGACAUGCAGCCAACCUUGUAUGAUAGACCUAAGAGGAUUAGGAGAGAACCAGCGAGAUACAUGGGCUAG